GUUAUUUCAGCAGAAGCUACCUGAGGAGCAUCAAACAUUCCACUAGUUUGCACGAUUUUUUUUUUUUUGCCGGGGAAGUUUGCACGAUUUCUGAUCGUGAUUUUUCCUACUAGAGCAUCAUACAAUAGAAAUAAAUUUCAAAGUAAAUAGACGAGCUGUAUUGGGGAACAUACUUUCGCAUAAGCAAUAAUUUAUGGCCUAUUUUAGGGAGUAAUAAUCAGUCUUUAAUUACUUCCAUAUGGUAGGGCAUCUCUAACUAA
RNAcentral lists this long non-coding RNA (260 nucleotides) under Hordeum vulgare. Its description in RNAcentral is "long non-coding RNA (HVUL_LNC004354)". The record is from RNAcentral. Lineage: Eukaryota; Viridiplantae; Streptophyta; Magnoliopsida; Poales; Poaceae.